RNAcentral lists this ribosomal RNA (757 nucleotides) under uncultured bacterium. RNAcentral describes it as "bacterial SSU rRNA". It matches the Rfam family "Bacterial small subunit ribosomal RNA", at positions 42 to 819 of the family's 1533-position model. The record is from RNAcentral.
GGGUGCUUAACACAUGCAAGUCGAGCGAUGAAGCACCUCGGGUGUGAAUUAGCGGCGAACGGGUGAGGAACACGUGAAGAAUCUGCCUUCAACUCUGGGAUAACUCCGGGAAACCGGGGCUAAUACCGGAUAUGAGCCUUGAUCGCAUGAUCGGGGCUGGAAAGUUUUUCGGUUGAAGAUGACUUCGCGGCCUAUCAGCUUGUUGGUGAGGUAAUGGCUCACCAAGGCGACGACGGGUAGCCGGCCUGAGAGGGCGACCGGCCACACUGGGACUGAGACACGGCCCAGACUCCUACGGGAGGCAGCAGUGGGGAAUAUUGGGCAAUGGAGGAAACUCUGACCCAGCGACGCCGCGUGAGGGAUGAAGGCCUUCGGGUUGUAAACCUCUUUCAGUAGGGAAGAAGCGAAAGUGACGGUACCUACAGAAGAAGCACCGGCUAACUAUGUGCCAGCAGCCGCGGUAAUACAUAGGGUGCAAGCGUUGUCCGGAAUUAUUGGGCGUAAAGAGCUCGUAGGUGGUUCGAUACGUCGGAUGUGAAAAUCAGGGGCUCAACCCCUGACCUGCAUCCGAUACGGCAGCUAGAGUUUGGUAGGGGAGACUGGAAUUCCUGGUGUAGCGGUGGAAUGCGCAGAUAUCAGGAGGAACACCGAUGGCGAAGGCAGGUCUCUGGGCCAAUACUGACACUGAGGACGAAAGCGUGGGGAGCGAACAGAUUAGAUACCCUGGUAGUCCACGCCGUUAAACGGUGGGCGCUAG